Non-coding RNA from Schizosaccharomyces pombe (fission yeast), 1488 nucleotides. The record is from the annotation of a GenBank genome assembly. NCBI's taxonomy places the organism in Eukaryota, Fungi, Ascomycota, Schizosaccharomycetes, Schizosaccharomycetales, Schizosaccharomycetaceae.
CUCUAUGACUUUUUUACUAUUUCCGUAGUAUUUGUUAUCACUUAAUCUCCACAUUUUUUCUACAUCGGACUUCAAGUUACAGUACCACGUGCCGCCCUUAUUUUAAACGAACACACCAUCAGCUUUGCAUAGACUGUUAAAUAGCUUAUACAAUUUAGUAAAACUGUGUAACUUAGAUAUAUUGGAAAACAGUAUCAUAACAGUAAAGAUUUAACCUCAGCAAAUACUUGCCACUUCCAGUUUAAAGUGUAGGAUGAACUUGUAAGCAUGAUAAAGUUGAAACAAUAUUCUUGUUGCGUAGAACCUUUUUCCUAGAUCAACGCAAAAACAAAAUAACUUAAAAAAAAAGAAAAGAAAUUCGGAUGCAGAAAAACUAUAUGUGCAAAUACGGCGGGAGUUACACAAAUAAUUAAACAUAUACAUCAGCCAAAAGAUGUUUACUGGAACAUUAAUUGUUGAGACUUACGCAGAUUGACCUGUUCACAGAUGCGUGUUUUUUUUCAAAAUACUCAUACUUAUUAAAUUUCCCACCAAUUUCUUAAUCCUCAAAUUCUAUCGAGAUUUCUGGGUUAGAGUGUGAAACUUUUUCAAUAUCAAUACUAGGUUGUAACGACAUCUCUUUGAAUAAUGAUUGACAAGCUCUUGUACCAUUGCCCAAUGCAAGAACGUCUGCUUUUUGCGACGAGGAAAACGAACCGUUUGUGACUCGAGCAAGUCCGUAAAGAAUCUUCCAAUCCAUAGGCUUUACACGUGAUUGCAUGCUUUUGCUUCCCUGUUCUUGUCGAAAAGUAUCAACCGAAUCAAAAAGGCGUUCCAAUUUUAUCUGUAACCUUUCAACCAAGUAUCGGAGGCCAUCCGGAUUAGGCAGUUCCUCAGAAGAAGCCAUUCUACCCAACUUGUGUAAUUUUUUUGAUGCUAAACGCACAGCCAAAUAUGCAGCCUCUUGGCGAAACCUCGAAGCCGAGGUUCCAUCAAAAAAUGAUUCAUCGGGGAUGGAAUGAAUUGUAGGCCAUACUGCACGUAGACGUGGUGGAAUCCUUCGUUCAUAACCGUCCAAAUCGCUUUGCAAUUCAUUUCGACGAGUUAUACCAGCUUUAUAACUGCAAUAAAGUUGAAUACACAAAUUUUUCAUCUCAGAUCUUCUCAGUUCGGAAACAAUUUCUCGAUACUCUAUUAGCUGUGCGUAUAGAGCAUCUUGCUUUCGCAUUUCUUUUUCAUCCGAAGUAUCCUGAGAAGAGGAAAUAUCCUCUUGACUUCCUUGCUGCUCUAAUUCUUCCUCAGAAUCAUUCAUAGCAUCAUUUCCUCAGAAGGUUUAGCAUCCGGCUGUUGUGUUCGUAGGCUAGAGGUUAAGGAAAGGUCAUUGUACCUGGCGCGAUAUUAAGUGUGUUUACUGACUUUUUUUUUUAAUUUCCUUUAACUAUAAUCUAAUAGAAAAAAACUUUUCCUUUUUUUUAUUAAUAUAAGACUUUUGCUUCGUCUAACAACCGA